Molecule: long non-coding RNA, 442 nt
Organism: Bubalus bubalis (water buffalo)
Lineage: Eukaryota; Metazoa; Chordata; Mammalia; Artiodactyla; Bovidae
Exons: 2
Source: RefSeq, a predicted model, not a curated record
AUGUGGAUUAAGUAUCUGCCAUGUAUCAAGAACUCUAUCCUCCUGGGAAUGCUCACGGCCGCCUGGGAGGUGGCCUCCCAUUCCACUGCCGAGGAAACGGACUCAGAGAGGCGGGGUGACUCGCUCUCCAAGUCCGCCCCCCCACACCCCCGCCACAGCAGGAAGCGGCAGAGUUGGCAAGUCCUGUUUGCGCGCCCGGUCCUGGAAUGUGGGUCUGCACAGAGAUCCCAGGCCACGGGCAGGGCCUUCCGGAGCCUCGUCUGCCCCCACAUCCCCACCCCUGGGAAGGCCCGUGAGCUGCGAGAGAGAAGGCCAUGUAAGAAUACAGCGAGAAGGUUCUGUCUGCCGGCCAAGGAGAUAUGCCUCACAACCUGCCAUCUUGGUCUGGGACUUCCAGCCUCCAGAACUAUAAGAAAAUACAUUUCUGCAGUUCGGCCAUCCA